UCUCUUUUGCGGGUUUCAUUGCUUGGUAUAAAUCCCCAGGCUGAAGCGAAUGAAGCUUCACUGGGGAGAAGCAGUGUGUCUUAUCAUAGGACUGGGCAGCUCCCCGCGCAAGGUGUCGCUGACAGGGCUUGGCUUUUGCCAAGAUGAGCCCAAGGUAGGAAGCUGCGCCCGUGUGUGCCCAUUCGGCGUGUGCACGCGAAGCCUGGAAGGAUUUUCUAUGGAUCCACAAACUGGAUUUCCAAGGAGGAGCCGGUCUGAGCACACGCCGCUUCCAUGUGCUAUGCAUGGCCCAUCCCGCCAGGAGGCUCUGAGGGAAGGGUCGCAGCUGCUUGAGCUCUGCCCGGAGCUCUGGGCCGUGUGCUGGGCAGAAAGCUGAACGGAGACUGAGACAGAGAAGCAUCUAGAGACGUGUAGAGGAGCGCGCCUCUCUCCACCCUCCUGGGGGUCUCCUGGAUAUUUCUGAGAGUAAGAGUGUCUUCUCCCAGCAGGCAGCCAAGGCUGUCUCCUUUCCUCCUUGUCUAGUGGAGUUUCCUAGGUGCAGAAGUUUCCCAGGAGCAUUUGGGAGCAGUCUAAGGAAGAUUCACUCAGUCAGAAGGGAUGGAAUUAAUAAAUGAUUCCCUUUUUAACUCGGGCUGGGCCUCAUUCGAACGCCUGUUUUCAACUUGAGCUUGACAAGGAGUCUAAAGCUCAGAGAGGUGCAGAACUUGCCUGCAUGUCACGUGGGCCCUCGCAUUUCAGAUGCACUCAUCUCAGUGGCCCAGCGGGAGGUGAAAGGAGGUAGGUUUCUCCUGGACUCACAGGUGCGAUUUCCAGUCUGCCCUCUGCCCUCACUAGCUGUGCCUCCCCGAGCUUCAGUUUUCCCAUCUGCAAAGUGGGUGUUAUGAGCAGUGGGAGGGAAAUGGUGCGUUUCGUUUCCUGCGACAGGGUGGGCGAUGUGGCUGAUAGUCACGCAAACGGUAAGACAAUACAGAGCUGAUCCCUGGGCUGAGCCUGGCGGAGAGCAGGUCCCUUCCGCCGAGGUUAGCUGGGCUCUGUGUUCUCAUUGUCCGGCUCUGAGUUGGCCGCUGGGUGGGUGGGAAGGUGAGAUGUGGUUCACAUCCCUGCAACCUGGUGAAGAAAUACGUUCCCGGGGCCAGAAAGCCAAGCGGACGCAUCUGGCCGGGAUGGCCCAGCAGCAUGAAGGUCAGAGUUUGUGCUCCGAGCGGCUUCCCCCUUCUCAGGCUGCAGAGCUUUGGCAAGGUUCUGAGUUAAGCUUAAUUAAAAUUCACUCUUAAUUGGGGCCAUUACUUCAAAUCAACUCUACGUAAUGAAGCUGUGUAAUCAUAAUUAAGCUCCAGAAAUAGAAUUAGGAAGCCAAGCACGGGCGGGCCCGGUGCCAGGGGCGACAGGGAGGGGACUUCUGGAAUCACCGAGUUUUCAGAUAGCCACGGCCGCUGAGUGCGGUGACGGGAGGAACCUCAGCGGCCCCAUCAUCAGGACAAGGAACUCACCAGAAAGAGGGUUUGGGAUACAGGGAACCCCGAGAGGCAAAGCUUGAGCGGCACCAGGCAGAGGGGCCCAAGUGGUGAUGAGAACAGGGUCCCCUCGGGAGGAGGCCCAGGCAAGGGCAAGUCUGCUCUCCAGCAACUGUGUCCCCCGCUGGGAAGUCAGGGCCAAGGGCAGCUGUUUCCAAACAAGGACAUCUCUCUCCCGACUCACGCAGGGCUCUCCUCAGGGGGUUUCCUGGCAGGCAAGUCAGGGGCAAUGCCUCUGCUUGCGUGACCCUCUGCUUGAGGGCACGUGAGGCACUUACCUUUGCAGUUGUUGGCGCUGCCGUUUGGGUGGUAGCUUCUCUUUUCACGCGGGGGAGCAUGUGAAGAUUGGGAGCGUGAGUUUUAAAGUGAGGUGAUCAGAGGUUGAACUCCGGAUGUGCCAAUGACCGGCCACGUGUCUAGGAGAGUAUUUACCCCACUCUCCGUUUCUCCAUCUGUCAUGAGAGAAUUAUAAUGGAAGACGUCUCAAAGGCUAUUCUCACAAUGAUAUAUACACCCAAAGCACUUCGAACACCGGGCCUGACGCACGACAACACUAAUUGUAUAUGGAGGACUCGCUCUGUAGCCAGCAGUGUCCUGCUUCUUACACGUGCUCCCAAGGUGUUGUCACAAUCACCCUGUGGAUAGGUACUAUUAUUUCCUCUGACUUAAGGACAAGGAGUCUAAAGCUCAGAGAGGUGCAGUAACUUGCCCAAGGUCACACAGUAAGUAAGUGGCCAUUAGUAAGAGCUGCACCAAUGGUAAGUAUUAUAAUAAAGGUGCUCUAUGUGCCUAUGCAUUUGAUCUGCUGGUCAGAAUUAGUUAGAUCCACAGUCAACACAUGCCCAGAAGUUCUACACAGGCCCCAAGGGAAGUCACUCAGCCAAGCUUGUCCCAGGUCUGUGGCUCUAACUCAGCCAGAGGAGGCCAGGCAUUUGGGCUCUGAGAGGGUGGAGCUGUGGAUGCUGAUUCCAGAGCUGUGGGGUUGGAGGGAAAGAGACAGUGAGAGAGAGCGUCACCGAGUAUCUGUUUUUUUACUUGGCAUGUCAGUUGUCCUUGCUCAGGAGACCUUGGGAAUCACCCUCAGGAGUGGCGAGGGGAAGUCUAGGCACCUGAGCCAAAGAAGAGCUGUGUCGCCCCCUUGAACCCCCAGUUGUCCAGAGCAUGGCUCAUACUUCUUAUGCCACCUUCAUGAAUGCCCACUGGGUGCCUGGAAUAGAGUUGGGCCACAGUUGGCACCAAAGCCCCAUGAGUCAGAAAUGACCACUCCC
Molecule: long non-coding RNA, 2782 nt
Organism: Myotis brandtii (Brandt's bat)
Lineage: Eukaryota; Metazoa; Chordata; Mammalia; Chiroptera; Vespertilionidae
Exons: 5
Source: RefSeq, a predicted model, not a curated record